Molecule: long non-coding RNA, 1192 nt
Filed under: Cyanistes caeruleus (blue tit)
Lineage: Eukaryota; Metazoa; Chordata; Aves; Passeriformes; Paridae
Description: lncRNA (ENSCCEG00000017800.1)
Source: RNAcentral
ACAUUGACUCUGGUUCUUGGGAGCGAGCUCGGGGGGUCUGCCCCGCUGCACCUUGAGGAUCACCCAGGCUGCUCCUCAGCUCCUUCCCAGCUGGGACACUCCAGGCAGGGAGCUGGGGCCACCCUGCACAUCCAGGGGAGCCUCUCCAAGGCAAGGAGCAGGAAACUCUCCCAGGGAGAAAAGGAUCCCUGGAAAAAGCUGAAAUCUAAUCCUACCUUGGUUAACAUAACAGAGAGAACAGGAAGCGCUGUGAAGGAAUUUUUCAUUCCCUGGGACGUCUUUGAUCCCGCUCCCCUCCCUUUUCCUAUCAGAUCCCUUUCGGUGCCUUUCUCCAUAGGGAAUUCCUGGCUCUGUGCAAGGAGCUCAGACACCUUUCCCAGGAGAAAACUCCAGCAGGGCCUGAAAGGGAAAUGCCAGCAAGCUGGAGCAGGACCAUUCCCAUGGGGAUGCACAGGGGACAUCUCUGUGACUCAGCCCAAAAUGUCACCUGCCACUGAAUAUCUUGAGCCUUUUUCCUUCUUCUUUUGUAUUUGCUUGCAGGGAACACGGCAGGGGAUGGUCCCAGUACUGUGUGUGUUUCUCUUCACCAGCCAAAGAGAAAAAAGUCUUGCAGUUCUUCAUCUCUGCCUUGGAUUUGCUGCCACGGAUUGUCCGUGAAUCCUUUUGGGAAGGGGCAGACUGGCUGGUGAGCCCAGCUGGGAGCAGCAUCCUGCAUCCCUCACAGCUCUCCAGCAGCUUUACACCCAUCCCAAGCAUGGCAGGCAGCCUGGAUGGAGCCAAUCCUCCUCUGGAGGAGGAUCCUGAGGGCUGUCUCUUAAUUGCACUCCAUAAUCACUCCUCUAUUUCUGUCUUUCCAAAUCCUGCUGGCAGUGUCAAGGCCCAUUUUGGGCAUGGCAGUAAACAGCAGUUGUUUUUCCCUCUCAGUGUUGCUACCCCAGAGAAGAGGAGUGACAAGGGUGAGUCACCAUGGCAUUUGGCAAAACAUCCCGGGAAAAGUGUUUGUCUGGAAAGCUGAGGAGCCUUGACCCAGGAGAGGUGACAGGAUCCUUCAGAGCCUCUCGAAACCUGUAGGAAUGGAAUAUUCCAGGGCAAGUGGAGAGAGAUAAGGAGCAGAGAGCAGCUGACUCCCGAGCUGUGGAGUGCUCCACUCCUGCCUGGGAGAUAUUAGCAGCUGUAUCAGGUUGCACAUCUG